GAGGGCAGAGCUCAGCGGUAGAGCGCGUGCUUCAUGCACAAGGUCCUGGGUUCAACCCCCAGUACCUCCA
RNAcentral lists this transfer RNA (70 nucleotides) under Camelus bactrianus (Bactrian camel). It matches the Rfam family "tRNA". From Rfam's summary of the family: Transfer RNA (tRNA) molecules are approximately 80 nucleotides in length. Their secondary structure includes four short double-helical elements and three loops (D, anti-codon, and T loops). Further hydrogen bonds mediate the characteristic L-shaped molecular structure. tRNAs have two regions of fundamental functional importance: the anti-codon, which is responsible for specific mRNA codon recognition, and the 3' end, to which the tRNAs corresponding amino acid is attached (by aminoacyl-tRNA synthetases). tRNAs cope with the degeneracy of the genetic code in two manners: having more than one tRNA (with a specific anti-codon) for a particular amino acid; and 'wobble' base-pairing, i.e. permitting non-standard base-pairing at the 3rd anti-codon position. Lineage: Eukaryota; Metazoa; Chordata; Mammalia; Artiodactyla; Camelidae. The record is from Rfam by way of RNAcentral. RNAcentral also lists the same sequence under 2 other names.